UACAGAGGGUGCAAGCGUUGUUCGGAAUUAUUGGGCGUAAAGGGCGCGUAGGCGGUUUGUCCAGUCAGACGUGAAAUUCCCGGGCUCAACCUGGGGACUGCGUUUGAGACGUACAGGCUUGAGUGUGAAAGAGGGUCGUGGAAUUCCCAGUGUAGAGGUGAAAUUCGUAGAUAUUGGGAAGAACACCGGUGGCGAAGGCGGCGACCUGGUUCAUUACUGACGCUGAGGCGCGAAAGCGUGGGGAGCAAACAGG
Molecule: ribosomal RNA, 253 nt
Filed under: uncultured bacterium
Lineage: Bacteria
Description: partial 16S ribosomal RNA
Rfam family: Bacterial small subunit ribosomal RNA
Source: RNAcentral